AUACGGAGGGGGCUAGCGUUGUUCGGAAUCACUGGGCGUAAAGCGCACGUAGGUGGACUAAUUAGUUGAGGGUGAAAUCCCGGGGCUUAACCUCGGAACUGCCUUCAAUACUGUUAGUCUUGAGUCCGAGAGAGGUGAGUGGAAUUCCUAGUGUAGAGGUGAAAUUCGUAGAUAUUAGGAAGAACACCAGUGGCGAAGGCGGCUCACUGGCUCGGUACUGACGCUGAGGUGCGAAAGCGUGGGGAGCAAACAGGAUUAGAAACCCUAGUAGUCC
RNAcentral lists this ribosomal RNA (274 nucleotides) under uncultured bacterium. RNAcentral's name for it is "partial 16S ribosomal RNA". It matches the Rfam family "Bacterial small subunit ribosomal RNA", at positions 523 to 796 of the family's 1533-position model. The record is from RNAcentral.